AUGGGAUUCUGCAGCGGCCCUUCAGAUGUCCAGGUGCUCCCAAAGAACACCUCAUCCUCAUCGUCGCUGUCUUCCUCGUCAUCGGCUGAUAAAGUUUCCGGCGACAGUGGCAAGAACAAGAAACGACAGGGUAUAAAGAAGGAAGAGAGGAAGGAGAAGAAAAGGAGCAAUCUUGACCGGGCUGCGCUCACGACGCCCCACUUCCCUUUUCAUUCUCGCCCCGGUCUUCUGUAA
RNAcentral lists this ribosomal RNA (234 nucleotides) under Triticum aestivum (bread wheat). RNAcentral describes it as "partial small subunit ribosomal RNA". Lineage: Eukaryota; Viridiplantae; Streptophyta; Magnoliopsida; Poales; Poaceae. The record is from RNAcentral.